RNAcentral lists this small nucleolar RNA (129 nucleotides) under Capra hircus (goat). RNAcentral's name for it is "Small nucleolar RNA SNORA57 (ENSCHIG00000002852.1, ENSCHIG00020027085.1, ENSCHIG00040027269.1)". It matches the Rfam family "Small nucleolar RNA SNORA57". From Rfam's summary of the family: U99 belongs to the H/ACA class of snoRNAs which are thought to guide the sites of modification of uridines to pseudouridines, the target for this family is unknown. Lineage: Eukaryota; Metazoa; Chordata; Mammalia; Artiodactyla; Bovidae. The record is from Rfam by way of RNAcentral.
CUUCCCUUUCUUGGCAGGGAUUGGGCGUGUGGUCCCGGGUUGCAUAACGUACAGAGGCAGAGGGAAAGGGCCCUGGGGUUGCUUGGCAUCAUGUCUUCAGUACCGGCAGCUUCAGGCACCAGGACAAAG